This 250-nucleotide ribosomal RNA is filed under the name uncultured bacterium. RNAcentral's name for it is "partial 16S ribosomal RNA". It matches the Rfam family "Bacterial small subunit ribosomal RNA", at positions 524 to 773 of the family's 1533-position model. The record is from RNAcentral.
CACGAACUGCGCAAACGUUAUUCGGAAUCACUGGGCUUAAAGGGUGCGUAGGCGGACUGUUAAGUAGGGCGUGAAAUUUGUCGGCUCAACCGGCAAACUGCGUUCUAAACUGGCAGUCUUGAGCGAGUCAGGGGUGUGCGGAACUUCCGGUGGAGCGGUGAAAUGUGUUGAUAUCGGAAGGAACGCCGGUGGCGAAAGCGGCACACUGGGGCUUGUCUGACGCUGAGGCACGAAAGCCAGGGGAGCGAAC